Molecule: long non-coding RNA, 743 nt
Organism: Mirounga angustirostris (Northern elephant seal)
Lineage: Eukaryota; Metazoa; Chordata; Mammalia; Carnivora; Phocidae
Exons: 3
Source: RefSeq, a predicted model, not a curated record
CUGCCAUCGCGCCUGAGCUCUGGGCCCUUCUCGCCUCUGGCCCAGUUCAAUCAAGGCCUGGGCCCUCCCCGGUCGAAGUUCCCUGACCAGAACUAGCAUGGAACGUGUUGGGGAAACAGCUCUCUACGGUUGCAGGGGUAGGUAAGCUUUGUUUUUUUUCUGUCUGAACGUCUGGGAAAGCAGAAGGAAGAAUUCACUUGGUCAACAAAUAUUUGCCCAGCGUCCAAAGCAAAUGAAACCGACUUCCUGCCCCGAGCAAAUAAAGAAUCAUCACAUGAAUGAAAGAUUGCAAGCUGAACCCGGCAGGACCGGCAGGGGGCUCUGUUGGAGGAGCUGGGAGCUGAGGAAGCAGCCAUCUGGGACAAGGUAGUGGAGCAAUGAGCGGGUGGCCCUCCUGGGCCCGGGCCACUUUGUUUCGUGAAAGACUAGUGAAGAAGGAACCAAGGGCUCCUGAAGCUACAGCAGGCUGUCAGAGCUAGGGUAUGCACAUGUGAACAAAACUGGACCUUGGGAGCAUAUGGGAAGUCUGCUACAGGGCUUCAGAGAAAAAGAUUUCCCUUCUUAAUUACAAAAAAAAGAAAAGAAAAGAGAAAAAGAAAAGAAAGAAAAAAGAAAAGAAGAGAAAAGGAGAGAAGAGAAGAGACAAGACAAGACAAGACCUGUCCCACCUCUGGACAUGCUGCCUGGAGCUGCAGUCGCCAUCUUGCAGCAUUAAGCGAUACCUCUGAGGAAACACCAACCCC